RNAcentral lists this transfer RNA (74 nucleotides) under Rhodoferax sp. RNAcentral describes it as "tRNA-Thr". It matches the Rfam family "tRNA". From Rfam's summary of the family: Transfer RNA (tRNA) molecules are approximately 80 nucleotides in length. Their secondary structure includes four short double-helical elements and three loops (D, anti-codon, and T loops). The record is from RNAcentral. RNAcentral also lists the same sequence under 1 other name. Lineage: Bacteria; Pseudomonadati; Pseudomonadota; Betaproteobacteria; Burkholderiales; Comamonadaceae.
GCCUUGUUAGUUAAGUGGUAUAACAGCUCACUCGUAACGAGCAGUCCGGUGUCCGAUUCACCGACGAGGCACCA